RNAcentral lists this ribosomal RNA (2495 nucleotides) under Patescibacteria group bacterium. RNAcentral describes it as "partial 23S ribosomal RNA". It matches the Rfam family "Bacterial large subunit ribosomal RNA", at positions 398 to 2925 of the family's 2925-position model. The record is from RNAcentral.
GACUCUGCUCCAAAGUACAACGAGGCCCGAGAAACCUCGUUGGAAGCCGGCACGACGAUGUGCCAAGACUAAAUACUCUUCCUGACCGAUAGUGAACAAGUACAGUGAUGGAAAGCUGAAAAGCAGCCCGAGAGGGCGAUGAAAUAGUAUCUGAAACCGUAUGCUUAUAAGGAGUUGGAGCGGGCGCAAGUCCGUCACAGCGUUCCUAUUGAAGAAUGAGCCGACGAGUGUAUAUGUGUCGCAGGUUAAUUCCUUGCGAGGAAGAAGCCACAGUGAAAGCGAGCCUGAAUAGGGCGUUUGUGGCACGUAUAUGACCCGAAACCCGGUGAGCUAGCCAUGACCAGGAUGAAGUCCCACGAAAGUGGGAUGGAGGUCCGAACCCACGAGCCGUUCAACACUCGGGGAUGAGUUGUGGCUAGAGGUGAAAUUCCAAUCGAACUGGGUGAUAGCUGGUUCUCCCUGAAAUAUAUUUUGGUAUAGCGCUUGUUUCAUAGCUUGGCGGAGGUAGAGCACUGAAUGGGAACAGGGGCGCAAGCCUACUGUUGCCAACCAAACUCCGAAUGCCGUCAAGUGUUCACAGCAGUCAGUCUCUGGGGGCUAAGCUCCAGUAGACAAGAGGGAAACAGCCCAGACCGCAGUCUAAGGUCCCUAAAUUCGUACUAAGUGUCAAAGGUGGUCAGAUGACUUAUACAACCAGGAGGUUGGCUUAGAAGCAGCCAUCCUUUAAAGAAAGCGUAACAGCUCACUGGUCAAGUUGUCCGGCGCCGAAAACUUAUCGGGGCUCAAGUACGAUACCGAAGUCGCGGACUACGUUUCAUCUUCGGAUGAGAGUAGUGGUAAGGGAGCAUUCUGAUCAGCACUGAAGCGGAAGGCGUGAGCCACCGUGGAGCGUUCAGAAGUGAGAAUGUCGGUAUAAGUAGCAAAAAAACAGGUGAGAAUCCUGUUCAUCGUAAACCCAAGGUUUCCAGGGCAACGCGAAUCGUCCCUGGGUUAGUCGGUCCUAAGGCGAGGCCGAAAGGCGUAGCUGAUGGACAGCAGGUUAAUAUUCCUGCACUUGCUUAGUGUUUCAAUGGAGUGACGCAUCGUCUUAUUUAUCGAGAUUCUUGGAUUGAGUCUUUGGGCGUUUGGGGGUGACUGAUAGGCAAAUCCGUCAGUCAUAAGCCUCUGGAUGAGCGCAAGUCUGCCGUGAGGUAGGCAAGGAUAGAGUCGGUGGUGCCGAGAAAAACUUCUAGAGCUAACGUUAAGCAAACCGUACCGUAAACCGACACAGGUGGGUGAGCAUAAGUGUGCUAAGAUGUACGAGAGAACCCACGUUUAGGAACUCGGCAAUACAACGGCCGUAACUUAGGGAUAAGGCCUGCCCGUAGCAAUACGGGCCGCAGCGAAAGACGCUUACCGACUGUUUACCAAAAACACAGCUUCCUGCAAAGCCGCAAGGCGAAGUAUAGGAAGUGAUGCCUGGCCAGUGUCAGAACGUUAAGGGGAGAGGUCAUGGGGCAACCCGGCAGCCUUGAGCCGAAGCGCUGAUGAACGCCGGCGAUAACUAUAAUCGUCCUAAGGUAGCGAAAUUCCUUGUCGGGUGAGUUCCGACCCGCACGAAUGGCAUAACGAGUGAGCGACUGUCUCAACGUGGGACUCGGCGAAAUUGCAAGUGGGGUGAAGAUGCCCUGUACGCGCAGUCAGACGAAAAGACCCCGUGAAGCUUUACUACAAUUUGAUAUUGGGUACCGGGUUAGCAUGUUCAGUGUAGGUGGGAGCCGCAAGGCGCCAAUGAGACACCACCCUUGCUCUCUCGGUAUUCUUAUCCUGGCCCAUAUAUCUGGGUUAGGAGACAGUAUCUGAUGGGUAGUUUAACUGGGGCGGUUGCCUCCUAAAUGGUAACGGAGGCGUUUACAAAGGUCAGCUAGGUGCGGAUGGAAAUCGCACUGAUCCUGCAAUGGGAUAAGCUGGCUUAACUGCAAGACCAACAAGUCGAGCAGAUGCGAAAGCAGAACAUAGUGAUCCGACCGUACGAUAUCGGACGGCGGAAGCUCAACGGAUAAAAGCUACUCCGGGGAUAACAGGCUGAUCUGGUCCGAGCGUCCACAGCGACGACCAGGUUUGGCACCUCGAUGUCGGCCCAUCGCAUCCUGGGGCUGGAGAAGGUCCCAAGGGUUAGGCUGUUCGCCUAUUAAAGCGGUACGCGAGCUGGGUUCAGAACGUCGUGAGACAGUUCGGUCUCCUGUCUACUGCGCGCGUGGAACAUUGCGAGAACAAUUCCUUAGUACGAGAGGACCGGGAAUUACGAACCUCUAGUGUGCCUGCUGUUCUACCAAGAGCAUCGCAGGGUAGCUACGUUCGGCACGGAUAAACGCUGAAAGCAUCUAAGCGUGAAGCCGUUCUCAAGAUUAAUGUUCGUCAUAGGACCCUCCGAGACGAGGAGGUUGAUAGGUGGUAGGUGUACAAGUCGCGAGACUUUGAGCCGAGCCAUACUAAUAGUCCAAUGCUUCGGCCUU